UGGGGAAUCUUGCGCAAUGGGCGAAAGCCUGACGCAGCGACGCCGCGUGAGUGAUGAAGGCCUUCGGGUUGUAAAGCUCUGUGGGGAGAGACGAAUAAGUAGAAGCUAAUACCUUCUAUGAUGACGGUAUCUCCUUAGCAAGCACCGGCUAACUCUGUGCCAGCAGCCGCGGUAAGACAGAGGGUGCAAACGUUGUUCGGAAUUACUGGGCGUAAAGCGAGUGUAGGCGGUCUGCUAAGUCGGGUGUGAAAGCCCUGGGCUCAACCCAGGAAGCGCACUCGAAACUGGCGGGCUAGAGUAUCGGAGAGGUUGGUGGAAUUCUCGGUGUAGAGGUGAAAUUCGUAGAUAUCGAGAGGAACACCGGUGGCGAAGGCGGCCAACUGGACGAAUACUGACGCUGAGACUCGAAAGCGUGGGGAGCAAAC
RNAcentral lists this ribosomal RNA (425 nucleotides) under uncultured bacterium. Its description in RNAcentral is "bacterial SSU rRNA". It matches the Rfam family "Bacterial small subunit ribosomal RNA", at positions 355 to 773 of the family's 1533-position model. The record is from RNAcentral.